AGCCCUUCGGGGUGGAUGAGUGGCGAACGGGUGAGUAACACGUGGGCAACCUGCCCUGCACUCUGGGAUAACUUCGGGAAACCGGAGCUAAUACCGGAUAACAUCCUCCUCCGCAUGGUGGGGGGUUGAAAGUUCCGGCGGUGCAGGAUGGGCCCGCGGCCUAUCAGCUUGUUGGUGGGGUAGUGGCCUACCAAGGCGACGACGGGUAGCCGGCCUGAGAGGGCGACCGGCCACACUGGGACUGAGACACGGCCCAGACUCCUACGGGAGGCAGCAGUGGGGAAUAUUGCGCAAUGGGCGAAAGCCUGACGCAGCGACGCCGCGUGAGGGAUGACGGCCUUCGGGUUGUAAUCCUCUUUCAGCAGGGAAGAAGCGAAAGUGACGGUACCUGCAGAAGAAGCACCGGCUAACUACGUGCCAGCAGCCGCGGUAAUACGUAGGGUGCGAGCGUUGUCCGGAAUUAUUGGGCGUAAAGAGCUCGUAGGCGGCCUGUCGCGUCGGAUGUGAAAACUCGGGGCUUAACCCCGAGCCUGCAUUCGAUACGGGCAGGCUAGAGUUCGGCAGGGGAGACUGGAAUUCCUGGUGUAGCGGUGAAAUGCGCAGAUAUCAGGAGGAACACCGGUGGCGAAGGCGGGUCUCUGGGCCGAUACUGACGCUGAGGAGCGAAAGCGUGGGGAGCGAACAGGAUUAGAUACCCUGG
Molecule: ribosomal RNA, 700 nt
Filed under: Streptomyces sp.
Lineage: Bacteria; Bacillati; Actinomycetota; Actinomycetes; Kitasatosporales; Streptomycetaceae
Description: bacterial SSU rRNA
Rfam family: Bacterial small subunit ribosomal RNA
Source: RNAcentral